AGCAUGUGGUUUAAUUCGAUGCAACGCGAAGAACCUUACCUGGGCUUGACAUCCCGGGAAUCCCUUGGAAACAAGGGAGUGCCCUUCGGGGAACCUGGAGACAGGUGCUGCAUGGCUGUCGUCAGCUCGUGUCGUGAGAUGUAGGGUUAAGUCCCGCAACGAGCGCAACCCUUGUCUUUAAUUGCCAUCAUUGAGUUGGGCACUUUAAAGAGACUGCCGGUGUUAAACCGGAGGAAGUGGGGAUGACGUCAAGUCCUCAUGGCCCUUAUGGGUAGGGCUUCACACGUCAUACAAUGGUCGGUACAGAGGGUUGCCAACCCGCGAGGGGGAGCUAAUCCCACAAAGCCGAUCGUAGUCCGGAUCGCAGUCUGCAACUCGACUGCGUGAAGUCGGAAUCGCUAGUAAUCGCAGGUCAGCAUACUGCGGUGAAUACGUUCCCGGGUCUU
Molecule: ribosomal RNA, 446 nt
Filed under: uncultured Smithella sp.
Lineage: Bacteria; Pseudomonadati; Thermodesulfobacteriota; Syntrophia; Syntrophales; Smithellaceae
Description: bacterial SSU rRNA
Rfam family: Bacterial small subunit ribosomal RNA
Source: RNAcentral